UAAAGGGUAACACCGGCUACGGGUGGCCAUGCGGCGCAUUAGCUAGUUGGCGGGGUAACGGCCCACCAAGGCGACGAUGCGUAGGGGUUCUGAGAGGAAGGUCCCCCACACUGGUACUGAGACACGGACCAGACUCCUACGGGAGGCAGCAGUGAGGAAUAUUGGUCAAUGGGCGCGAGCCUGAACCAGCCAAGUCGCGUGAGGGAAGACGGUCCUAUGGAUUGUAAACCUCUUUUGUCGGGGAGCAAAAGACGCCACGUGUGGCGUUCCGAGAGUACCCGAAGAAAAAGCAUCGGCUAACUCCGUGCCAGCAGCCGCGGUAAUACGGAGGAUGCGAGCGUUAUCCGGAUUUAUUGGGUUUAAAGGGUGCGCAGGCGGAAGAUCAAGUCAGCGGUAAAAUUGAGAGGCUCAACCUCUUCGAGCCGUUGAAACUGGUUUUCUUGAGUGAGCGAGAAGUAUGCGGAAUGCGUGGUGUAGCGGUGAAAUGCAUAGAUAUCACGCAGAACUCCGAUUGCGAAGGCAGCAUACCGGCGCUCAACUGACGCUCAUGCACGAAAGUGUGGGUAUCGAACAGGAUUAGAUACCCUGGUAGUCCACACAGUAAACGAUGAAUACUAAUUGUUCGGGGAGAAUGAUCCCUGA
RNAcentral lists this ribosomal RNA (642 nucleotides) under uncultured bacterium. Its description in RNAcentral is "bacterial SSU rRNA". It matches the Rfam family "Bacterial small subunit ribosomal RNA", at positions 202 to 842 of the family's 1533-position model. The record is from RNAcentral.